RNAcentral lists this ribosomal RNA (372 nucleotides) under uncultured bacterium. RNAcentral's name for it is "bacterial SSU rRNA". It matches the Rfam family "Bacterial small subunit ribosomal RNA", at positions 524 to 898 of the family's 1533-position model. The record is from RNAcentral.
CACGUAGGGGGCAAGCGUUAUCCGGAAUUACUGGGUGUAAAGGGAGAGUAGGCGGCAUGGUAAGUUAGAUGUGAAAGCCCGAGGCUUAACCUCGGGAUUGCAUUUAAAACUAUCAAGCUAGAGUACAGGAGAGGUAAGUGGAAUUCCUAGUGUAGCGGUGAAAUGCGUAGAUAUUAGGAAGAACACCAGUGGCGAAGGCGACUUACUGGACUGAAACUGACGCUGAGGCUCGAAAGCGUGGGGAGCGAACAGGAUUAGAUACCCUGGUAGUCCACGCCGUAAACGAUGAGUGCUAGGUGUCGGGGGGGAACCCUCGGUGCCGCAGCUAACGCAAUAAGCACUCCACCUGGGGAGUACGAUCGCAAGAUUGAA